This 500-nucleotide ribosomal RNA is filed under the name uncultured bacterium. Its description in RNAcentral is "partial 16S ribosomal RNA". It matches the Rfam family "Bacterial small subunit ribosomal RNA", at positions 30 to 523 of the family's 1533-position model. The record is from RNAcentral.
AUUGAACGCUGGCGGCAUGCCUUACACAUGCAAGUCGAACGGCAGCGCGGACUUCGGUCUGGCGGCGAGUGGCGAACGGGUGAGUAAAGCAUCGGAACGUGCCUAGGAGUGGGGGAUAACGUAGCGAAAGUUACGCUAAUACCGCAUAUUCUGUGAGCAGGAAAGCAGGGGAUCUUCGGACCUUGUGCUUCUGGAGCGGCCGAUGUCAGAUUAGCUAGUUGGUGAGGUAAAAGCUCACCAAGGCGACGAUCUGUAGCGGGUCUGAGAGGAUGAUCCGCCACACUGGGACUGAGACACGGCCCAGACUCCUACGGGAGGCAGCAGUGGGGAAUUUUGGACAUUGGGGGCAACCCUGAUCCAGCCAUGCCGCGUGAGUGAAGAAGGCCUUCGGGUUGUAAACUGCUUUUGUACGGAACGAAACGGCUCUUUCUAAUAAAGAGGGCUAAUGACGGUACCGUAAGAAUAAGCACCGGCUAACUACGUGCCAGCAGCCGCCGUAA